CUGCAAAAUCGGUGCCAUCAGCCGUGGGAAUACGUAUGGUUCGGUCGUGUACCGGAAUGACUGGGCGUAACGGUCUCGUGGGCGGCUGGUCGCGUUGUUCGUGAAAAUUUACCUCUCAACGGUGAACUUGCGGGCGAUACGGGCAGGCUAGAGUACUGCAGUGGAGACUGGAAUUCCUGGUGUAGCGGUUAAAUGCGCAGAUAUCAGGAGGAACACCGGUGGCGAAGGCGGGUCUCUGGGCAGUAACUGACGCUGAGGAGCGAAAGCGUGGGGAGCGAACAGGAUUAGAACCCUGGUAGUC
Molecule: ribosomal RNA, 301 nt
Filed under: uncultured Bacillus sp.
Lineage: Bacteria; Bacillati; Bacillota; Bacilli; Caryophanales; Bacillaceae
Description: bacterial SSU rRNA
Rfam family: Bacterial small subunit ribosomal RNA
Source: RNAcentral